UUAUUGGGUCUAAAACAUCCGUAGCUUGCUUGAUAAGUUUCUUGUGAAAUCCUAUAUCUCAAGUAUGGGGCGUGCAAGAAAUACUGUCAGGCUAGAGACCGGUAGAUGUAAAGAGUAUGUCCGAGGUAGUGGUAAAAUACGUUAAUCUCGGGCAGACUAACAAUUAGCGAAGGCACUUUACAAGGACGGAUCUGACUGUGAGGGAUGAAGGCCAGGGGCGCAAAACGGAUUAGAUACCCGUGUAGUCCUGGCAGUAAACACUGCUCACUAAACAUUGGUCUCUCUUAGGGAGAAAUCAGUGCUGUAGCGAAGGCGAAGAGUGAGCUACCUGGGAAGUAUAGUCGCAAGAUCGAAACUUAAAGGAAUUGGCGGGGGAGCACA
RNAcentral lists this ribosomal RNA (381 nucleotides) under uncultured euryarchaeote. RNAcentral describes it as "bacterial SSU rRNA". It matches the Rfam family "Archaeal small subunit ribosomal RNA", at positions 501 to 880 of the family's 1478-position model. The record is from RNAcentral. Lineage: Archaea; Methanobacteriati; Methanobacteriota.